Xenopus tropicalis (tropical clawed frog) is the source of this 1342-nucleotide long non-coding RNA. RefSeq lists it as uncharacterized. The transcript is spliced from 3 exons. NCBI's taxonomy places the organism in Eukaryota, Metazoa, Chordata, Amphibia, Anura, Pipidae. The record is from RefSeq and is a predicted model, not a curated record.
ACAGCGCGGCGGGCCAAUAGUAGGCUGCAGGAGAGCUCAUAAGGUGUGGCACAGAAGCGCGGGAGUCCUGGGCGCGGCCUGUAGAGGUGCGGUGAGGGCCGGUCCGGCUGUGACGCGGGGAGUGGCUGCCUUCGCUUUGGGCUAUAACUCAGGGUUAACACUAUUCAGCGGAUAGGGUAAUCCGGCAUGCAUUUGUGGCUUUAUACGACAUUGCUGGAAAGCGUUCUUCAUAACGUAUAGCUGAUGAAUGGCUAAUAAAACCCCACUAUGGGAAUGCAGCUUAAAGGAGCAGCCUGGGGUAGCUGCGGACAAGCGAUCCUCCUCCUUCUCUCUUCUGGAUCCCAGGGCUGGUGCAUAUGCAGUACAGUGGAAAAGGCAGCUUUUUUUGUUAAAGUUCGACUCUUCACCCUACUGUGCAAGCGGUGCAAAGAAGACAAAGGAAGAAGAUCACUCACUCGCAGCUACCCCAGGCUGAUGCAGAUUCUCCUAACAGGAGCACCAGCCUGGGGUAAAAGAUGGCGGAGGAACAUGAAUGGGAUCAAUAUAAGCAGCCUGUGCCACUUCAGGAGCAGCAGGCGACUCCCCAGCAGAUUUACAGGGAGCAGUAUGCAGGAGUCACGACUUCAGCUUUCAGUAAAUCCGAGUGCAGCCAGCACACUUCCAAAAAUCCAACUGCGUAAGUGUCUGUAAACACUUCCUUCUACAUUUUUGUUUCAGCACAAUGAUUCCCAUGUUUUUCAAUACCAAGGUGUUUCUGAAUGUUUUGCUGCCCCCACAUGUAUCAAUUUUUAAACCAGUGAGAAAAAGCCCCAUCAGAAAUCUCCCUUAGGGAUGUGCAGAUUUCACAAGCUGCUAAGGGGUUUGGAUAAAUCCCAGCACAUUUUCCAGGAUUCUGAUUUGGCUGAACAAGAAAAGUCGUGUGGUUUUUAAGGAGAAGAAAAGUCAACCAUUGCUGGGGUGAUUGUAUUCACUUACCUGAUACCCUGGGCUUGUGCUCCUAUCAGCAGAAAACUGCCCCGGCCCGGGGUUCUUCAGUGAGCACGCUUCAUACCCCCCCACCCAGCGAUUGUGACUUUCCUCCUCCUGAACAUGAGAACAUGAAUGAAGCAAUUGUUAAUAUUUUCUUAAAUGUAAUUAUGUAAAUGAAUUUAUUUCUGUACAGUUUUCAGCCAAAUUGUUUGAAUAAUUUGUUACUCGGCUAAAUCUAAAAAUGAUUGAUUGGUGCGUCAAUAACUCUAUUAGCUGCAGGCUAUAUGUUCCCAGAGACUUCAAGGUGCCUUUUUUGCAUGGUUAGUAGCAGAGCAAGAGGCAAAUAAGGAAUCGGUUUUGCAGUGUGAAAGCU